GACGAACGCUGGCGGCGUGCUUAACACAUGCAAGUCGAACGGAAAGGCCCUGCUCUUGUGGGGUGCUCGAGUGGCGAACGGGUGAGUAACACGUGAGUAACCUGCCCUUGACUUUGGGAUAACUUCAGGAAACUGGGGCUAAUACCGGAUAGGAGCUCCUGCUGCAUGGUGGGGGUUGGAAAGUUUCGGCGGUUGGGGAUGGACUCGCGGCUUAUCAGCUUGUUGGUGGGGUAGUGGCUUACCAAGGCUUUGACGGGUAGCCGGCCUGAGAGGGUGACCGGCCACAUGGGGACUGAGAUACGGCCCAGACUCCUACGGGAGGCAGCAGUGGGGAAUAUUGCGCAGUGGGCCGAAGCCUGAUGCAGCAACGCCGCGUGCGGGAUGACGGCCUUCGGGUUGUAAACCGCUUUCGCAUGUGACGAAGCGUGAGUGACGGUAAUGGGUAAAAAAGCACCGGCUAACUACGUG
RNAcentral lists this ribosomal RNA (468 nucleotides) under uncultured bacterium. RNAcentral's name for it is "partial 16S ribosomal RNA". It matches the Rfam family "Bacterial small subunit ribosomal RNA", at positions 28 to 507 of the family's 1533-position model. The record is from RNAcentral.